UACGGGGGGGCAAGCGUUGUUCGGAAUUACUGGGCGUAAAGGGCUCGUAGGUGGCCAACUAAGUCAGACGUGAAAUCCCUCGGCUUAACCGGGGAACUGCGUCUGAUACUGGAUGGCUUGAGUUCGGGAGAGGGAUGCGGAAUUCCAGGUGUAGCGGUGAAAUGCGUAGAUAUCGGGAAGAACACCCGUGGCGAAGGCGGCUCUCUGGGACGGUACUGACGCUGAGACGCGAAAGCGUGGGGAGCGAACAGG
Molecule: ribosomal RNA, 252 nt
Filed under: uncultured bacterium
Lineage: Bacteria
Description: partial 16S ribosomal RNA
Rfam family: Bacterial small subunit ribosomal RNA
Source: RNAcentral